UACGUAGGGACCUAGCGUUGUCCGGAAUCAUUGGGCGUAAAGCGCGCGUAGGCGGCCAGAUAAGUCCGGUGUGAAAGUCACAGGCUCAACCUGUGAAUGCCGCUGGAAACUGUCUGGCUUGAGUCCGGAAGGGGCGAGUGGAAUUCCUGGUGUAGCGGUGAAAUGCGCAGAUAUCAGGAGGAACACCAAUGGCGAAGGCAGCUCGCUGGGACGGUACUGACGCUGAGGCGCGAAAGCCAGGGGAGCGAACGGG
Molecule: ribosomal RNA, 253 nt
Filed under: uncultured bacterium
Lineage: Bacteria
Description: partial 16S ribosomal RNA
Rfam family: Bacterial small subunit ribosomal RNA
Source: RNAcentral